ACGUAGGGUGCGAGCGUUAAUCGGAAUUACUGGGCGUAAAGCGUGCGCAGGCGGUUCGCUAAGACAGAUGUGAAAUCCCCGGGCUUAACCUGGGAAUGGCGCUUGUGACUGGGGGACUUGAGUGCGGCAGAGGAGAGUGGAAUUCCACGUGUAGCAGUGAAAUGCGUAGAGAUGUGGAGGAACACCGAUGGCGAAGGCAGC
Molecule: ribosomal RNA, 201 nt
Filed under: uncultured prokaryote
Description: partial 16S ribosomal RNA
Rfam family: Bacterial small subunit ribosomal RNA
Source: RNAcentral